AGGAGGGAGAGGAGGACAGAAGAGAAGGCAGAGAGGAGAGAGUGUGAACUGCGAGAGCUAACCUCUGACUCAUAAUAGCCUCAGCCAGUAGAUUCAACUGGAUCUCAGGUAAGCCACCCUCUUGCACCCAAAAGAUAGGAAGUCUAUUGUAUUGUAAAUAUUGACCUGCGUGUAUGUCAUUGUGUGUUUCUAUGUGUCUGUGUACAUGUAUGUGUGUCAGUGUUUGUAUCUAUGAGGAAAAAUAGAAGAGAAGUCCAGGCACUCUCAGGAUACAAGAAGGCAAACUUAUUGAACCCUCUGCAUUGUAUCUGUGUGUGUGGCAGUAUUUGUAUAUGUGUGUCUGUGUAUCUGCAUGUGUGUCAGUGAGUAUUUAUGUAUGUUUCUAUAGCUACAUGUGUGUCAUUGUGUGUCUGUAUAACUGCCUGUGUUUCCAUGUGUGUGUAUAUAUAUGUUUGCAUGUGUAUCCGUGUGUGUGUGUGUGGUAGUAUUUGUGUAUACAUGUGCAUACAUCUCAGCAUUCAAACUCCAAAACUAUUUACAAAUACACCCCUGCAUACAAAC
Pelobates cultripes (western spadefoot toad) is the source of this 561-nucleotide non-coding RNA. The record is from the annotation of a GenBank genome assembly. NCBI's taxonomy places the organism in Eukaryota, Metazoa, Chordata, Amphibia, Anura, Pelobatidae.